AUUGAACGCUGGCGGCAGGCCUAACACAUGCAAGUCGAACGAGUGGCGGACGGGUGAGUAAUGUCUGGGAAACUGCCUGAUGGAGGGGGAUAACUACUGGAAACGGUAGCUAAUACCACAUCCUAUCAGCUGUGCCCAGAUGGGAUUAGCUUGGUGGUGGGGUAACGGCUCACCAAGGCGACGAUCCCUAGCUGGCUUGAGAGGAUGACCAGGCACACUGGGACUGAAACACGGCCCAGACUCCUACGGGAGGCAGAAGUGGGGAAUAUUGCACAAUGGGCGCAAGCCUGAUGCAGCCAGUCCGCGUGUAUGAAGAAGGCCUUCGGGUUGUAAAGUACUUUCAGCGGGGAGGCGUUACCCGCAGAAGAAGCACCGGCUAACUCCGUGCCAGCAGCCGCGGUAAUUC
Molecule: ribosomal RNA, 406 nt
Filed under: uncultured bacterium
Lineage: Bacteria
Description: partial 16S ribosomal RNA
Rfam family: Bacterial small subunit ribosomal RNA
Source: RNAcentral